UGGGGAAUAUUGGACAAUGGGCGAAAGCCUGAUCCAGCCAUGCCGCGUGUGUGAAGAAGGUCUUCGGAUUGUAAAGCACGUUAAGUUGGGAGGAAGGGCAUUAACCUAAUACGUUAGUGUUUUGACGUUACCGACAGAAUAAGCACCGGCUACCUCUGUGCCAGCAGCCGCGGUAAUACAGAGGGUGCAAGCGUUAAUCGGAAUUACUGGGCGUAAAGCGCGCGUAGGUGGUUUGUUAAGUUGGAUGUGAAAUCCCCGGGCUCAACCUGGGAACUGCAUUCAAAACUGACUGACUAGAGUAUGGUAGAGGGUGGUGGAAUUUCCUGUGUAGCGGUGAAAUGCGUAGAUAUAGGAAGGAACACCAGUGGCGAAGGCGACCACCUGGACUAAUACUGACACUGAGGUGCGAAAGCGUGGGGAGCAAACA
Molecule: ribosomal RNA, 427 nt
Filed under: uncultured bacterium
Lineage: Bacteria
Description: partial 16S ribosomal RNA
Rfam family: Bacterial small subunit ribosomal RNA
Source: RNAcentral